CUAUAUUUAAAAGUACUAUGACAAAUCCAAAAGUUGUAUAGCAGCUAACGAAGAGAGAGGCAAGAGAAGGCGAUUUUUUCUCUCUGUUCUCUUUCCCCCAAACGCCUUUCUUCUCGGCCAGAUCCAAUUAGCUUCUUCUUUAAGGUGGUCGGCAGAGGGUGCGUCCCGUCGAUCCGCCAUCCCUUCUCUCCCUAUAUCCAAUUCCUCUUUCCUUGUUCGCGACGAGCUCCUCUCUUCCUCCUUGCUCCUCUUGCUCUGGCUCUCGCCGGAUUGUGGUCAGAUCCGGUGGAGAAUUGAUGUUUGGGUGCGUUCCCAGCAUUUCUGGAGAGAGGCAAUGUCGAGACAGUUCGUUUGCGUACAGGAGGCACCGUCGUUUAGGUAGAUCUAGGGUUUGUCUGAAGGCGGUUCUGGGUCAGUUCCGCCGCGGGGAUGUGUCGGAAUGAAGGGCGUCACUGCCUCUUCUUCUCCGACUUUACGUCUCCUCUGCUCUCCCCUCUCUCCUCCGUCGGUCGCAAUUGUAGAGCUUCCCCGUCUCUUUCCAUGGUCUGAGACGAAACGGCGAAUCUGAGGAGCUCGUUGGGGACAUCUCCUUUAGCUCAAGUGACAGCAACCAUGGUUUCUAGGGUGAUAUGUUCGACUCCCUUUCUUGCUACCGACGUCCUCUGCUAGGGUUUGAGGACAACCUCACGUGGAGACGCGCAGGCUUUUCAGUGGAGUUCUCUAUUACCUUGUGCGAUCCAUGCUUUCUAGGAGAGUUUUGUCUCCUGCUGUGCUUCAUGCCCCUGUUCAAAGCUCCGACAAGUUUGGCAUUGUGCUCCUUCGUUGUUUCUGCUGUAUCUAGUAUGUCGCGUGGGCGGUUUGGGAGCUUGUUUGUACCGCCAACGCUUGACCGUAACUCGAGCUUCAGUGUUCCACAGCGUUGCAAAGGCAGAGUCUUUGUCUCUCAGUCGAGAUAGUUUGGAUGCUUGGUCGAGGUCCUCCUCCAGCGGAGCUCCGGAGCGUAUGCCAGACGCAUCCGUCGAUGCCUGCUUGGAGCCACUUCGGUGAGUACUCGGCUGAUCUUCACUGGCUAUUCUCUUGCUUAUGCAAGAAGGCUUCCAUUAGGGGAUUAUAUUGUUGUUUUACUUGAGCUGAACCUAUUAACUUCAAGGCUCCUUUGUGUGUAGCUUGGAGUUAAUUUCUUGUAUCCUAGUGGUUUUUUUACUUUUUUUUGCGAUCACUAGGAUCAAAAUAGCUAUGGCAGAAUGUGGUUGCAGCUAGCUUUGUAACCGAACCUUCAUUGACGGUCAAUGAUAUUUACCAUUUAGCAAAAAAAAAAAAGUACUAUGAGGAGAACUCUCAUGUUGACAAGUCAGUAAAUGGCAUGUCUGUAAAUAUUUUACACUUUGAAGGUUACUUUUUAAAAGUGUUUCUCUUUUAAUAGUAAGGAGAUGUUUCUCGUAAUUUCAUUAGAGCUAUCAUUAUCGCUGUUGUUUAUCAUGAUUGUUAGGUUAAUUAUAAUUUGAAAAAAAUAAAAAUUAUCUUUUAAUAGAAGCAACGUUGUUUAAUUAGGGGACGGAAGAGACGUAGCUUAUGGACACGCGUCAUACGUUGAACUCUCUCUCUCUCUCUCAUCUCUAUUUCUCUCCCGUAGAAAAAAAAACGGAAGAAUAGCGAAGAAGAAGAAGAAGAAGAAGAAGAAUCAAAGCAUGAGUGGGCAAGAGAAUCACGACGCCAGCCGGAUCUCUACUCCCUCCGAAUCAGAGCCCAAAGCUCCUCAAUCCUCUGACUAUCACUCCUUACCCUAAGCUCGAUCCCAACGACGUCAAUCCUCCUCCUUCUCCCAUCUCCGGCAACGCCGCCACCACCAUGUCGUCGGAGUUCAAUCCCUACGUCUUUCCUUCCACUGUCCCCAAGAAUACAAUGAACUCUGUGAAGGACACGCUUGGAAAAUGGGGGAAGAAGGCUGCAGACGCCACCAAGAAGGCUCAAGAUCUCUCCGGAAACGUUUGGCAGCACUGUAAGAAGCACCUCCCUUGUCCCUUCUUCUUUGACGAUCAGUGAUGAAUCUAGUGUAUGUAUGGUUGUUUUACUGGUAUAUUGUUUCUUUUUGCUUUGUGUGAAGAACUAGUGUUGUAUUAGAAAUAUGAACUGAAGAUAGUUUAAUUGGAAAACAAGAACCGCUACAUGAUUAUGAAGAAGCUCUCAAGAAGAAGCUCAUUACUGAGUUGUUGUCUUAAUGUUGUCUGAAGAAGAAGUUUAAGUUCAAGUCUCAGUUUAAGUUCAAGAAUUAGUUUAAGUUGAAGUCUCUGUUUGUUGUUCUUCAUGUCUCUGUUUGUUGUUUUUCAAGUUCAAAACUAUGGCUACUUCUGUUUCAUGUCUCUGUUUGUUGUUUUUCAACAAGCGUUUUUUAGUUUCUGUUUCUGUUUCAUGUCUCUGUUUGUUGUUUUUCAAGUUCAAAACUAAUCUACUUAAGUAAGAUGAGGUCAUCUCUUCA
Molecule: long non-coding RNA, 2476 nt
Organism: Raphanus sativus (radish)
Lineage: Eukaryota; Viridiplantae; Streptophyta; Magnoliopsida; Brassicales; Brassicaceae
Exons: 2
Source: RefSeq, a predicted model, not a curated record